RNAcentral lists this ribosomal RNA (252 nucleotides) under uncultured bacterium. Its description in RNAcentral is "partial 16S ribosomal RNA". It matches the Rfam family "Bacterial small subunit ribosomal RNA", at positions 525 to 776 of the family's 1533-position model. The record is from RNAcentral.
ACGGAGGAUCCAAGCGUUAUCCGGAAUCAUUGGGUUUAAAGGGUCCGUAGGUGGACUACUAAGUCAGAGGUGAAAUCCCACAGCUUAACUGUGGCACUGCCUUUGAUACUGGUAGUCUUGAGUCAUUAUGAAGUGGUUAGAAUAUGUAGUGUAGCGGUGAAAUGCUUAGAUAUUACAUAGAAUACCGAUUGCGAAGGCAGAUCACUAAUAAUGUACUGACACUGAUGGACGAAAGCGUGGGUAGCGAACAGG